This 253-nucleotide ribosomal RNA is filed under the name uncultured bacterium. RNAcentral describes it as "partial 16S ribosomal RNA". It matches the Rfam family "Bacterial small subunit ribosomal RNA", at positions 524 to 776 of the family's 1533-position model. The record is from RNAcentral.
UACGCAGGGUGCAAGCGUUAAUCGGAAUUACUGGGCGUAAAGGGCGCGUAGGCGGCCUUCUAAGUCGAACGUGAAAUCCCUGGGCUCAACCCAGGAACUGCGUCCGAUACUGGAAGGCUUGAAUCCGGGAGAGGGAUGCGGAAUUCCAGGUGUAGCGGUGAAAUGCGUAGAUAUCUGGAGGAACACCAAAGGUGAAGACAGGUGACUGGGGGUGUGCCGACGCUGAGACGCGAAAGCCAGGGGAGCAAACGGG